CACGUAGGGCGCAAGCGUUGUCUGGAAUUAUUGGGCGUAAAGAGCGUGUAGGCGGUCCGGUAAGUCCGCUGUGAAAGUCGGGGGCUCAACCCUCGAAUGCCGGUGGAUACUGUCGGGCUAGAGUGCGGAAGAGGCGAGUGGAAUUCCUGGUGUAGCGGUGAAAUGCGCAGAUAUCAGGAGGAACACCUAUUGCGAAGGCAGCUCGCUGGGACGUAACUGACGCUGAGACGCGAAAGCGUGGGGAGCAAACAGG
This 253-nucleotide ribosomal RNA is filed under the name uncultured bacterium. RNAcentral's name for it is "partial 16S ribosomal RNA". It matches the Rfam family "Bacterial small subunit ribosomal RNA", at positions 524 to 776 of the family's 1533-position model. The record is from RNAcentral.